RNAcentral lists this transfer-messenger RNA (163 nucleotides) under Candidatus Fibrimonadaceae bacterium. RNAcentral's name for it is "partial transfer-messenger RNA". It matches the Rfam family "transfer-messenger RNA", at positions 215 to 374 of the family's 374-position model. Rfam says of the family: Bacterial tmRNA, also known as 10Sa RNA or SsrA, is named for its dual tRNA and mRNA-like properties. Its role is to liberate the mRNA from a stalled ribosome. Lineage: Bacteria; Pseudomonadati; Fibrobacterota; Fibrobacteria; Candidatus Fibrimonadales; Candidatus Fibrimonadaceae. The record is from RNAcentral.
CGCCUGCCUGAACGCAGAACCCAAAGCUCUCAGGCUAGCUUUUGCUUUGCGCCGACCUUUAUGGGCGUUUUCAAAGGCGAAACUUUAAAUACAGAGGAAACGCAUGUAUGAGCGAACGCGAACGAAAUUUUGGACAGGGGUUCGACUCCCCUCACCUCCAUUG